UACAGAGGGGGCGAGCGUUGUUCGGAAUUACUGGGCGUAAAGGGCGCGUAGGCGGCCUGCUAAGUCGGACGUGAAAUCCCUCGGCUCAACCGGGGAACUGCGUCCGAUACUGGCGGGCUUGAAUUCGGGAGAGGGAUGUGGAAUUCCAGGUGUAGCGGUGAAAUGCGUAGAUAUCUGGAGGAACACCGGUGGCGAAGGCGGCAUCCUGGACCGACAUUGACGCUGAGGCGCGAAAGCCAGGGGAGCAAACGGG
This 253-nucleotide ribosomal RNA is filed under the name uncultured bacterium. Its description in RNAcentral is "partial 16S ribosomal RNA". It matches the Rfam family "Bacterial small subunit ribosomal RNA", at positions 524 to 776 of the family's 1533-position model. The record is from RNAcentral.